AGCAACAACAUUCAUUUUAAAAAAAAUGUCAAGCAACCGAAAUUACAAAACGAGAUCGAAAUAUCAGGCUGGAAUCAUUUUCUGAUUAAUAUCGCAUGUGCAUUUGAAAUAAAGUUGUGUAAACCAUUUUGACGAAAUCAAUUGAAUUAUAUUUGACGAUGGCAGCACCACGCCGAAAGGAAUCGGAAAAUUUAAAUGACUUAUUAGCCGAGGUGAUCGGAUUGCGUCGUGCGGCUAAGGAAGAAUAUGGAAAGAAACUCAAAAAAUAUUUUGAAAAUCGUAUCAAAUAUACGCGACAAGGAGUAUUUGAUGGUGUUAGACUGCCAGAAAUUCAACACAAACCAAUACAAUUAAGUGGAAAUCUUCAGGAGACUACUGAGCUAGUUCAAAAGGCUCAAUUCAAUUCCGAACAAUAUUUUUACGCCAAAGAAACAAGCCAACAUUUGAACGAUCAACUUACACAAGUAGCAGAAUCGCUACAUAAGGUUAUGGAAAUUGAACAAAGUUUUCGAGAAUAAUAAAUUUGUUUGAUGAACAAAGUAAA
Molecule: long non-coding RNA, 544 nt
Organism: Contarinia nasturtii (swede midge)
Lineage: Eukaryota; Metazoa; Arthropoda; Insecta; Diptera; Cecidomyiidae
Exons: 2
Source: RefSeq, a predicted model, not a curated record